This 254-nucleotide unclassified non-coding RNA is filed under the name plant metagenome. Its description in RNAcentral is "partial contains small subunit ribosomal RNA, internal transcribed spacer 1, and 5.8S ribosomal RNA". The stretch from base 1 to 53 matches the Rfam family "Eukaryotic small subunit ribosomal RNA", at positions 1779 to 1831 of the family's 1831-position model. The record is from RNAcentral.
GGAAUAAAAGUCGUAACAAGGUUUCCGUAGGUGAACCUGCGGAAGGAUCAUUAUUGGAUUUUGAAACUUCAGGCUGCUGCUGGCUCUCCUCGGAGGGCAUGUGCACGCUUGUUGUCCAUUAUUUCUCCCACUGUGCACAAAUUGUAGACCUUUCAGUAGGCCUAUGUUGUCUUUCACAAUCUCUGAAUGUAAUAGAAUGGUUUUGAAUCUUGGGAAUUACAAUACAACUUUCAGCAACGGAUCUCUUGGCUCUC